This 352-nucleotide ribosomal RNA is filed under the name uncultured Anoxybacillus sp. Its description in RNAcentral is "bacterial SSU rRNA". It matches the Rfam family "Bacterial small subunit ribosomal RNA", at positions 1027 to 1382 of the family's 1533-position model. The record is from RNAcentral. Lineage: Bacteria; Bacillati; Bacillota; Bacilli; Caryophanales; Anoxybacillaceae.
CAGGGUGACAGGUGGUGCAUGGUUGUCGUCAGCUCGUGUCGUGAGAUGUUGGGUUAAGUCCCGCAACGAGCGCAACCCUCGACCUUAGUUGCCAGCAUUCAGUUGGGCACUCUAAGGUGACUGCCGGCUAAAAGUCGGAGGAAGGUGGGGAUGACGUCAAAUCAUCAUGCCCCUUAUGACCUGGGCUACACACGUGCUACAAUGGGCGGUACAAAGGGUCGCGAACCCGCGAGGGGAGCCAAUCCCAAAAGCCGCUCUCAGUUCGGAUUGCAGGCUGCAACUCGCCUGCAUGAAGCCGGAAUCGCUAGUAAUCGCGGAUCAGCAUGCCGCGGCGAAUACGUUCCCGGGCCUU